UACGUAGGGUGCAAGCGUUGUCCGGAAUUAUUGGGCGUAAAGAGCUCGUAGGCGGUUUGUCGCGUCUGCUGUGAAAACUCGGGGCUUAACUCCGGGCCUGCAGUGGGUACGGGCAGACUAGAGUGCGGAAGGGGAGACUGGAAUUCCUGGUGUAGCGGUGAAAUGCGCAGAUAUCAGGAGGAACACCGGUGGCGAAGGCGGGUCUCUGGGCCGUAACUGACGCUGAGGAGCGAAAGCGUGGGGAGCGAACAGG
RNAcentral lists this ribosomal RNA (253 nucleotides) under uncultured bacterium. RNAcentral's name for it is "partial 16S ribosomal RNA". It matches the Rfam family "Bacterial small subunit ribosomal RNA", at positions 524 to 776 of the family's 1533-position model. The record is from RNAcentral.